UUGAGACGUAACAAUAUACCAGACAAUACGAUCAACAGUUUAAAAUCCAAAGAAAUUGGCGGUAUCUUAUGUAAUCAGGGGAACCUGUCUCUUAAUUCGAUAAUCCACGAACACCAAACCUAGUUUUGAAUAUCAGCCUGUGUACUGCUGUCGUCAGUAAACCUCUAAAAGUUAGUUUACAUAAAAUAUAUAAUAAUAAUAUUUACGUCAAGUCAAAGUGCAGCUAAUAACUAGGAGAUGAUGGGUUACAUUCUAAAUAUAGAUACGAAUAAAAAAAUUAAUUUUUUUUUGAAGGUGGACUUGAGAGUAAUGAUUAAAUAAUAUUAUCAUAAAUAAUUUACCUAAGAUGUGCACACAUCGCCCGUCACUCUCUUCACAAGAUG
Molecule: ribosomal RNA, 383 nt
Filed under: Henlea ventriculosa
Lineage: Eukaryota; Metazoa; Annelida; Clitellata; Enchytraeida; Enchytraeidae
Description: partial 12S ribosomal RNA
Rfam family: Bacterial small subunit ribosomal RNA
Source: RNAcentral